ACGGCUCAGUAACACGUAGGCAACCUACCCUGAAGAUGAGGAUAACCUCGGGAAACUGAGGAUAAUACUCAAUAAAGUAAAAGUACUGGAAGGUUUUUUACUAGAAAUGCUUCGGCGCUUUAGGAUGGGCCUGCGGUGGAUUAGGUCGUUGGUGAGGUAAAGGCUCACCAAGCCGAUAAUCCAUACGGGAUGUGAGAGCAUUAGCCUGGAGUAGGGGACUGAGACACGGCCCCUAGUUCUACGGGAUGCAGCAGGCGCGAAACCUUUACAAUGCACGCAAGUGCGAUAAGGAGACUCCAAGUGACCACGUUGUGGUCUUUUCUGAAGUUUAAGUUGCUUCAAGAAUAAGGGCUGGGCAAGACCCGUGCCAGCCGCCGCGGUAACACGGGCAGCUCGAGUGGUGUCCAAUAAUAUUGGGUCUAAAGCGUUCGUAGCCGGCUCGAUAAGUUUUUAGUGAAACCUCAUGGCUUAACCGUGAGAAUUGCUAAAAAUACUGUCAAGCUAGGGACCGGGAGAGGCCAGAGGUAUUCCUAGGGUAGGAGUGAAAUCCAAUAAUCCUAGGAGGACCAUCGGUGGCGAAAGCUUCUGGCUAGAACGGAUCCGACGGUGAGGAACGAAGGCUGAGGGAGCAACCCGGAUUAGAUACCCGGUUAGUCUCAGCUGUAAAUGAUGUUGGUUAGGUGGUGCGUGACCCACGUGGUUACGCACGGCCGCAGGGAAGCCGUUGAACCAACCACCUGGGAAGUACGGUCGCAAGGCUGAAACUUAAAGGAAUUGGCGGGGGAGCAC
RNAcentral lists this ribosomal RNA (789 nucleotides) under uncultured archaeon. RNAcentral describes it as "bacterial SSU rRNA". It matches the Rfam family "Archaeal small subunit ribosomal RNA", at positions 85 to 879 of the family's 1478-position model. The record is from RNAcentral.